Molecule: ribosomal RNA, 253 nt
Filed under: uncultured bacterium
Lineage: Bacteria
Description: partial 16S ribosomal RNA
Rfam family: Bacterial small subunit ribosomal RNA
Source: RNAcentral
UACGAAGGGGGCUAGCGUUGCUCGGAAUCACUGGGCGUAAAGCGCACGUAGGCGGCUUGCUAAGUCAGGGGUGAAAUCCUGGAGCUCAACUCCAGAACUGCCUUUGAUACUGGCGACCUUGAGUCCGGGAGAGGUGAGUGGAACUGCGAGUGUAGAGGUGAAAUUCGUAGAUAUUCGCAAGAACACCAGUGGCGAAGGCGGCUCACUGGCCCGGUACUGACGCUGAGGUGCGAAAGCGUGGGGAGCAAACGGG